RNAcentral lists this long non-coding RNA (737 nucleotides) under Polistes fuscatus (common paper wasp). Its description in RNAcentral is "uncharacterized LOC122524369". The record is from RNAcentral. Lineage: Eukaryota; Metazoa; Arthropoda; Insecta; Hymenoptera; Vespidae.
ACCUACCACGACCGGUCAUUUGACCGGUAGUACGAUUUAUACAUUUAUGUAAGAGUUUCUCUCUAAGACUCAAUGCCAAAACUAUAAAGUCGUUACAAACGAAAGGUAAUGUAGUUAUGACACAUUUUAUCCGAUAAGUGCCUUCCAGAAAAUGGUUUACGGCACUUCCAAGUGUUUACAGUUCUCACUCGACUAUCGGGCUAGCGGUGUUUAUUUGCUUGAUUGAUAUCCGAUACGGUCAAGAUCCUCGAAUGUUCUACGCCAUCUCAUCUACUAUGACGUAAAAUAAAUAAACUUGUAACUGAAGGAAGUGUAUAGACGUCUUCUCACGAAUUCAAAUCAGUGUAGUCUUGCGACACGAACAGAGUGCAUCGAACGUGAAAGUCACAAAGAGCAUACUUGGCAGUCUUUUAUUAUUAUUUUGUAAUAUUUUAUAUCGUAUUACGUGUUAUAAGUGCCAUUUUCAAAAUAGUGAACAAGACUAACAAUACUUCGCAAAUAUUUGUCCCCAAAAUGGCAAGACGUUUGAGGAGUGCGAAUGUAUUAUUAGAGAGAAUAAAUGAUAUCGAUGCAGAAUGUUCUGAAGAUGAUCAGGAAAUUCUGGAUAUGGAAAAUAACAAUACGGAAAAUUAUGAUUCACUUGAAACAGAUUCGAACACCGAUGAGAACGAAGAGAAUAUUUCGAACGUACGUAGACGACGAAAGAGAAGGAGAUUCUUAGUUAGUUCCGAUAGUGA